UUACGCGAAGACCUUACCUACCCUUGACAUCGAGAGAACUUUCCAGAGAUGGAUUGGUGCCUUCGGGAGCUCUCAGACAGGUGCUGCAUGGCUGUCGUCAGCUCGUGUUGUGAAAUGUUGGGUUAAGUCCCGUAACGAGCGCAACCCUUGUCCCUAUUUGCCAGCGAUUCGGUCGGGAACUCUAGGGAGACUGCCGGUGACAAACCGGAGGAAGGUGGGGACGACGUCAAGUCAUCAUGGCCCUUACGGGUAGGGCUACACACGUGCUACAAUGGCCGGUACAAUGGGUUGCGAAUCCGCGAGGUGGAGCUAAUCCCAUAAAGCCGGUCUCAGUCCGGAUCGGAGUCUGCAACUCGACUCCGUGAAGUCGGAAUCGCUAGUAAUCGUGAAUCAGAAUGUCACGGUGAAUACGUUCCCGGGUCUUGUA
Molecule: ribosomal RNA, 427 nt
Filed under: uncultured bacterium
Lineage: Bacteria
Description: bacterial SSU rRNA
Rfam family: Bacterial small subunit ribosomal RNA
Source: RNAcentral